CACUCUAUAAGUGCCUGAGUUUAUCCCAAGAGAGGACUUCUGCCACACAGCUGCCUCCCAAGGACAUGAGUUCCAGCCACCCCGCCAUGAGGUUUCUUGUCCUCUCCAGCCUGCUCUGCAUCUUGCUUCUCUGCUUCUCCCUCCUAUCCGUGGAAGGGAGAAGGCAUUCUGGGCAUCCCACCAAACACUUGAAAGGCAGGCCCUGCUGUUCCCAAGUUCCUAGGCUUCUCCCAACAACCCAGAAAGGACGUAAUGUGAGGAGCUGCAAACCCUGCAAACUGAGGCCAGAUUCCAGAUUCUGGGUGGUGCCUGGAGCGCUCCCACAGAUAUAGUGUUCCCAGGACAAGGUGCCAUUCAACCGAGACCCUCAUGCCCAGAGCCUGAGGCACCCAGAAGCCUCUGGUUCCUGCAGGAUGCUCCCCUCAAGGCUGGGACUGAUGACAAAGAUCCCCAGGGCUCUGGCCCAUGGAAGCCUCUGCCCAUGAGCCAUGAGCCUCCUCUGGACACAACAUUUCCCGUCUGCCAUGUUGGACUGUGCUCACACUGCCUUUCCUUUGGAAAAGCCUGAACCAGAAUCUUCUGAAAACCACAACAUGGAUUCUGAGGUCAAAGCUCUGGAAUGCUUGUCUUGCUGUGUGACCUUGGAUGAGUAACCUAGUCCCUCUGAGUUCAUGUUGGCUUCAAAGAUGUAAAAUCCAGGGAGAAAAAACAUCCAAGAUAGGCUCCUUAGUCAGUGGCACCAGCCAGCUUUGCUCACCCCUUUCAACCUUCAAGGCAGUGAACUGGGAUGUUGGAGGACUUCAUCUCAGGGACCACGGGACUUGGGAAAGUUCCAGAACUCCAGAUCCUGGUCCCAGUUGUACCACCAACCUUCAGAGUUAUUGUGAGCUAGGCUCAGCCCACCUGGCCUCAAUCUCCACAGGGUCUCUCCAGCAGUGACAGUCAAACAGAUUCCCCUGUGACCUGUGGCAACUGCAAACCCAGACACUUCUGAGACUUCUGGGGUGCAGGGUGACAGGCAUUCAAGAGUAGCUGACCAGGACUGCAGAGGC
Non-coding RNA from Manis javanica (Malayan pangolin), 1052 nucleotides. NCBI's taxonomy places the organism in Eukaryota, Metazoa, Chordata, Mammalia, Pholidota, Manidae. The record is from RefSeq and is a predicted model, not a curated record.